Molecule: ribosomal RNA, 488 nt
Filed under: uncultured Cryobacterium sp.
Lineage: Bacteria; Bacillati; Actinomycetota; Actinomycetes; Micrococcales; Microbacteriaceae
Description: bacterial SSU rRNA
Rfam family: Bacterial small subunit ribosomal RNA
Source: RNAcentral
AUCAGUGGCGAACGGGUGAGUAACACGUGAGCAAUCUGCCCUUGACUCUGGGAUAACUGCGGGAAACUGUAGCUAAUACCGGAUAUUACCUUGGAAGGCAUCUUCUGGGGUGGAAAGAAUUUUGGUCAAGGAUGAGCUCGCGGCCUAUCAGCUAGUUGGUGAGGUAAUGGCUCACCAAGGCGACGACGGGUAGCCGGCCUGAGAGGGUGACCGGCCACACUGGGACUGAGACACGGCCCAGACUCCUACGGGAGGCAGCAGUGGGGAAUAUUGCACAAUGGGCGCAAGCCUGAUGCAGCAACGCCGCGUGAGGGACGACGGCCUUCGGGUUGUAAACCACUUUUGUACGGAACGAAACGGUCUGCUUUAAUACAGUGGGCUAAUGACGGUACCGUAAGAAUAAGCACCGGCUAACUACGUGCCAGCAGCCGCGGUAAUACGUAGGGUGCGAGCGUUAAUCGGAAUUACUGGGCGUAAAGCGUGCGCAG